GCCCGAGUGGUGGAAUGGUAGACACGACGGAUUCAAAAUCCGUUGCCGCAAGGCGUGCCGGUUCAAGUCCGGCCUCGGGUACCA
RNAcentral lists this transfer RNA (84 nucleotides) under Sulfitobacter porphyrae. RNAcentral describes it as "tRNA-Leu". It matches the Rfam family "tRNA". Rfam says of the family: Transfer RNA (tRNA) molecules are approximately 80 nucleotides in length. Their secondary structure includes four short double-helical elements and three loops (D, anti-codon, and T loops). The record is from RNAcentral. Lineage: Bacteria; Pseudomonadati; Pseudomonadota; Alphaproteobacteria; Rhodobacterales; Roseobacteraceae. RNAcentral also lists the same sequence under 5 other names.